CACCGCCUGGGGAGUACGACCGCAAGGUUAAAACUCAAAUGAAUUGACGGGGACCCGCACAAGUAGUGGAGCAUGUGGUUUAAUUCGAAGAUACGCGCAGAACCUUACCAACACUUGACAUGUUCGUCGCGACUUUAAGAGAUUAAAGUUUUCGGUUCGGCCGGACGAAACACAGGUGCUGCAUGGCUGUCGUCAGCUCGUGUCGUGAGAUGUUGGGUUAAGUCCCGCAACGAGCGCAACCCUCACUUUUAGUUGCCAUCAUUAAGUUGGGCACUCUGAAAGAACUGCCAGUGAUAAGCUGGAGGAAGGUGGGGAUGACGUCAAGUCCUCAUGGCCCUUACGUGUUGGGCUACACACGUGCUACAAUGGCAUUUACAAUAGGAAGCAAGAUGGCGACGUCAAGCAAAUCCUAAAAAGAUGCCUCAGUUCGGAUUGUACUCUGCAACUCGAGUACAUGAAGCUGGAAUUACUAGUAAUCGCGGAUCAGCGCGCCGCGGUGAAUACGUUCCCGGGUCUUGUACACACCGCCCGUCACACCAUGGGAGUUGGUUCUACCUUAAGGCAAGGUUUAAAACCCUUGACCACGGUAUAGUCAGCGACUGGGGUGAAGUCGUAACAAGGUAGCCGUAGGGGAACCUGCGGCUGGAUUACCUCCUUUCUAAGGAUGAUUAAGGAUAAUUUCUUAAUCUAAAUAAUAUAACAGGUUAAUGUUGACCGUCCUCAUUUCUCUUCUUAAAAUUUGUGUUUCACUCUUCUGCGAAAAGGGCCGGUAGCUCAGUUGGUUAGAGCACACCCUUGAUAAGGGUGGGGUCGAAAGUUCGAGUCUUUCUCGGCCCACCAAUUUAAGAUCAUGGGGGAUUAGCUCAGCUGGGAGAGCGCCUGAUUUGCAUUCAGGAGGUCAGCGGUUCGAUCCCGCUAUCCUCCACCAAACACUUAGUUAUAAAAAUUGUGAAAAAAUAAUUAAUAUCAAUAUCUAUAUCCGAACAUUAGUAAUGUUAUUAGCUAGUGUUCAAAAAAAAAUUUGAUUCAACACAGAAUUUUUUUCUG
This 1047-nucleotide small RNA is filed under the name uncultured Pelagibacterales bacterium. RNAcentral describes it as "bacterial SSU rRNA". The stretch from base 1 to 658 matches the Rfam family "Bacterial small subunit ribosomal RNA", at positions 867 to 1533 of the family's 1533-position model. The record is from RNAcentral. Lineage: Bacteria; Pseudomonadati; Pseudomonadota; Alphaproteobacteria; Candidatus Pelagibacterales.